CACACACACACUGUGAGGAGUUAAAAAGGCCUUAGGAAUUCAUCUAGUCCAGCUCUAAACAAUCUUGCUUAGUUACUUAAAAUACACUUUUUCACUUUCAUAAUUUUUGCAUGACUGGAAGAAUUGCCUCUAUUGACCCCCAAAUCUUUAUCAUUCUGGUAUAUCAGUGACAUCUGUAUAGCAUCCAUAUGCAUACAGCUGCUGGCACAAGUUGUCUCUACUACCAAGUGCAUUUGACCCUAUAUUUUUACUUUCAGAUCCAUAAUAUGUCAGAUGGAUGAAAACUGAGGAUAAAAGUGAAGAAUUUUGAGUUUUUACAUGGAAGGAGCAAGGAGGGGAAUAUACAUCCUGAUUCUCAGACCAGAGUUUGCAUGUGACUCGACCCUACCAGAUCAGUUUUGCAGGAAACUCAGGGCAGUUCCUUGAAGAUGUCAGUGCAGCAGCAGCUGGCAGAGAUGCAGUCCCAGGCUGAGAAGCAGUUCAGGGAAUUUGAUGGGCCACCUGAGCCCUAGAGGAUUUGCACAGGUGCAAACAGAGCUGGGGGCUUUUGGAUCUGGAAGAGUUAGAAACACCCUGGGCUCUCCAUGGUUGAAUGCAUUUGUGCCUCUGGUUUCACGGGAUUCCCUCUCUCCACCUUCUCCCAGGACACUCAGAGAAGUGGCUUUCAUCACAGGAGUGAGGGGGACAUCUUCAGGCCAUUAUGAGGUAGUAUCUGUGGAUCAGCUGCAGCUAAAUCCUGAAAACAAAGAGUAAAUCCAACACUUGAAGAACUGCUAAAGAUUUAUGAUGAUUCAGAAGAGAAACUGUUCAUAAAAAGAGGAUGAGCCAACUUCCCUGCAACGCGUUUAAUAACAAACCAAGGGCGCAGAGCUGCUUUCUGUAGCAUGGAGCAAAUUAAAUGGCAGAAACCACUGUGAAGCCCUGUGAAGCCCUUGUUUUAACCAUUUCUCCAUCUAUGCUUUGACAAAUAAUAUACACCAUAAGCUUCAAUUUUAAGAAGAAUGGGAUUUGACGGAACAAACUGCACCCGGACACUAUUGAGAUUGUGACACAGGCCAGUACACUUCAGGAAAUUCAAACUGACAGAAUCUCCUGCCUUCUGCUAUUGCAAAAGUGGCUUAGUGGAGCAAGACGCCAGCUCAGAGCCAUGGGCUGCAGCUCGAGGUUCCUGACCCUCUCUGCAGAGAUGGGAGUGCCUGGAGGGCUGAGGGCUUUGGCAGGGCUGAGCAUCUUGUUAUGUUCCUGAGGCUGCCCAUGAACUUCUGGACUAAGGCAAUCUUCUCUCCUCAGCUUCUCAAGUCCUGGGACUACUACAGAAGCACCAGAGGCACGUUGAUCUCUUUUUUCCUAAAACCGACUCAGCUGAGGAUGUGAUGUGGAUACAAGUGAGUUUAGCUCUCCUUGCUUCCUGGGAGCCAGCCGGAGCAGCUGGCUUCUCUGCCUGAAGCGCCCUGGCAGCUUGUAGCAGCUGGAAGCCGAGCUGGGGGGUGGAAAAGAAGGAGCAAAGUCCAUACCAAGGAGGAACUGGCAGAUAAAGCUCUCACCCCUGCAAGCCUGGCAAGUUGAUAAGCCAUCUUCAGAGAUGUCCAGAGAACUGUCUGCCCCUGCUUCCUCGCAAAACCAUGACUCAGGAGCAUUGUUCACAUCCUCAGGAUGGCAAAAGAGCUAAGAAUAAAUCCUGAAAUGCCGUCCAAAGAGACCCCGGCGAGAGGGAGGGGCAGGGAAGGAGGGGAACUGGAGAGGGACAAGAGCAAGGAACUUGGAGAUGAGGAUGCUCUGGGGCAGAAAGGAGAGAAAAAGAAAGGAGUGUGCACUUGGACAAGAGGUGCACAAAGGGAGAGGGAGAGAUGGAGUUAGAACCAGAAUCACAAGAGCAUCUAUCCCAAGAAGGAAAGUUCUGGGGAAGAGAAGAUGUUAAUUGCACACAAACAUGAAAUUAACACAUUUGUUCAUUUGAAAUGCUGUAACCCAGACUGGAUGCUUUACUCAAGGUCACAGGCUGUUCUCCUUCUGUCCCUAACUGACAGUGUCCCCACACUUGGCACUACGCUCUCUCUACCUUCCUCAGAGAUGCCAUAAAUGUAUUUAGUUAUCAGUUCUCAGCUGGAGACCCCCAAUCUUCACCCCUGACUUUAAUCUCUGGCCUGAGGUUGGGCCAAUCUUUUCAGUUGCCUGUAGCAUUGGUUUUACUACACUGUUCUGAGAAGUCCUCAAGAUUUGAGGGUUAGGAGAGGAAUACUGAGGGGUAGUACUCACAGUACCCCUUGUUUUAAGUAGAGUAUCUCCUUUUUAAUUCAUUUUAUACAUUAGGUUUUCUCCUAAGAUGUUGUUUGGAAAAAGUAUUGCUGCUUAGAAAGUGUGGCAGCUAAUGACUUGUAGGUUGGCAGCACCUGCAAAAAUUUAAUGUCUCAAAUUUAAUGUAUCCCCGCUCCCAUCUGUUUCCCUGUCCCUCUACCUUUUUCUCCUUCCUUAGAUACUGCGUCUGUUCUCCAGCCCCUCAGACCCAGAAGCAUGAUUUCCACCCACACACCUCACUCCUUCUGAUGCCUGGAAAAUGCCUCUUAGACUUGGCGCUUGGCAUUCCUACCUGCUGGGGACCUCUUGGUCCCCUCCGAUUUGGGCCUAGGUAUGUGACCAGCUUCUCUUUCCUUCUCCUUUCUAGCUGUGCACCUCUGUCUAAGCUCAUUUUCCCACUUGCACUGCUUUGCUGCAAAAUCCCCCAGUGCUCCUGUCAAUGCUCCUUCUUUCUCAUUCUCACCUCUCACCCUGGAAAUCCUCUGACCAGAAUGCACUGGGUCCUGGCCCAGCACCCUGCAGGCUUGGCUCCUGCCUCCACCUGUCUGGGACACAGACCUCUUUUGAUUCUGUUCUUCUCAUCCGCCCUGGGAACACUCCCCUCUUUGAAACUAUCAGUCUUGACCAUCCUUUGGUUUUCCUCAAGUCCAACCUUUUAUACUUCCUUCUCUGAGAUCCCCCUAGUUAUUUUAGUCCCCUUCUCUUCCUGAGUGCUUGCCAUCUUUACAGUUUGUGAUGCACAGCCUCACAUCUGUUGCACACAGGUUACUGGAUGCCUGGCCUGGGGCCUGGACCCUGGGCCCUGCCUUCUGCAAAUGCUGGGAGCUCUUGGCCUUUGGUUCUGUAUGCUCCCCUCCCUUCACUGUCCCAAUUUUCCCCAGCCAUAAUGGGCCUCUCAGGUCUGACUCACUUGUUCUUGGGCUGCAAGUCUCAGGUGGGUGCAGGCCACAUGUAUGCACAUCUGUGGUUGUUAUGGACUUCUCAGCUUCCAAGGCCAAGACUCCACAAACAAGAGGGUCUAAGCUCCCCUGCCUUUGUUUGCCCAUCCUUGGUGGAGCUCCCUUUGUACUUUCCUAUUCACUACCCUGUAGUUAUCCUGGCCUCUUUGUCUUUUGGACAGGCCAGUCUUCUUCUAGCCAGGCCCUUUGCCUGUGAUACCUCUUUUCACCAUCUUGGACUGAGUUGCUCUUAGUCAUCCUUCAGCCUCAGCUCAAAAUUUACUUCCAAAGGGUUGCUUUCCCAAACUGCCCAGGCUGUGUCCAUGCCCCUCUUUUAUGUUCCCAAAACACAUGCUAUGCUUUACUUUUACAACCACAAUCACAUGGUUACUUCCUUAAGACCCAUUCCCCAGCAGGCUAUGUACCACUGGGACAGGGACCUAGUUCUUCUACACUGCUUUCUGCCCUGUUCGAAGCACUAGUACCAUAGAUAGUUGGCUUGGAAUGGAAUUUUGAUUCAUUGAGAAAAUACAGUAGAAGUACUUUGGAUCUGACUUGGGAGUGAAGGGCCGGCUGGUACCAGACCCAAGGAUCCUGUCUUCCAGACUCACUGCUGGAGGCUUGACUUUGCUUUUGACUUCAGCCUUUUGGUGUUGAGCCAAGGAACAGCUUGGUAAACACAUCUCUAUCCUUCUGCAUUUUUUCUUAUUAGUUGCAAUAAAAAAGUAGUCUCUGGCUAAAAUUCUCACCUCCUUCAAUAUCCAUGGUAUCAUAUAUAACACAUUAGAAUAAAUAAAUAAUUUUUUAAAAUAUCUAUGGCAGAGCCUCUUCUCCAACCCCUACCUCUCCAUCACUGGAACAGAUUGGAGGAGCAGAUGAACACAAAGAUGAGACAGGAGCCAACUCUGUAAGCCUCAUCUCUGGGCUAGCUUGAGAGGAGGUGGGGACAGAUUUGGAAGCAGAGCUAGAAACCAAGAGGAGAGAGAAGCAGUUUCCCUAAUGGGGUCUCAGAGCCCAGGGUGGUGGGGUGAGACAUUGAGAAAGACCUGUGGAGAGGGGUCAUAUUGGGCCACAGAGUCCUACAUGUGCACCCAUCCACCAUCCAUCCAUCCAUCCAUCCACCCACCCAUCCACCCACCCACCUAUCCAUCCACCCACCCACCUAUCCAUCCAUCCAUCCAUCCAUCCAUCCAUCCACCCAUCUAUCCAUCUAUCUGCCCACCCAUCCAUCUCUCCAUCCACCCACUCAUCCAUCCACCCACCCAUCUAUCUACCUACCCACCUAUCCAUCUACCUACUCACCCAUCCAUCCAUCCAUCCACCCAUCCCUGCAACAUUCCCCCAGAGUCCACUUGUCACAAAGUUCACAGUCUAGUGAGACUCAAACACCAAAGGGGUUAAAAAACCAUGGAUUACAAACGGACUAUUAGAUCAUGAAUGGGUGCAACCAGGGUCCUGAGCUAGAGAACUAUGAGACCUCUAUCUUGGACCAGAAGAUUGAGUACAGGAGCAAGGGCAGGUUCUCAGACUGGUAUUUCUUUCUAGCUCUAUUCUUUUGGUUGUUCUGUCUUCCAGUGGCCUUCCUUUAUACAUCUCCAAUCCACUCUCACUUUCUCCUGUCCCUAUUUUCUGUGUUCCAGUUUCUACCCUGUUGGUCCUUGCCUGCCUUUGGUUUCUGUCCAUCACAAAGUUUGAGAUUCUAGAGACUUGCCUGUUCUUUGACACUUGGGUGUUUUUAGUGGAAGCCCUUGAAUACCAGGUUCUGGGUUACCUCCCAAUCACCAGAUCCCAUGGAGUUGGAGAAUCAGCAGAUACCUUAAAAUUACACCUGCUGGGCCCCUGUGAUCUUUUGGUUCUUUUCCUCCCUCAUUCACCAUCAAUCAGUGCUUUUCUUGCCUCCGUGUCUUUUCUCACCUCCUGGGGUUCCCAUCCUUCUGCCCCAUGGAGGAUGAGUGGUCUGAAGAUAGAAAGGAGAGCCGUUUUCCUGGGGCAGCCCCUCUUUCCCCCAGGCACAUGGGAAGACUUUGUUUAAAUCCUUGCUUUUCUGAGAGAGAACAAGUUGAUUUGUGGCACCAUCACUUCAUCCUUCCUCAUUUCUGUCCUGUGCUUCUUUGUUCUGUCAGACUCAUGGGAGAAGGAAGUAGGCAAUUUACUUUUCCCUUUCUAGAGAAACAAGAAUGUCAGGUAAGAAGAACCUUGAAACAUCUGGGCUAUGCUUUCUGGUAUGUGGUACAUAGUUCUGUUAGAUUCUUUCUCCCUUUCUUUCUAAAAAUAAAACACUUUAGAAGGAAAAUUGCAUUUAAUGUUUGCAUACUCUCAUUCUCCACACCCAUCAGCUCACUGACUCAGUUCACUGGCUGCCUGUCUUAGCAAGCCUAGGGAAGUUAUGGAAAUAACUUGGGCUGGCUUCAAGUUGCUGUGCAACUUUGGGUUAAUUACUUCAUCAUUCUGAGCCUCGUUUUCUCAUUCAUCAAACACAGACAAAAUAAUAAUUACUUCUCAGAUUGUUCAUGUGUGAUAAUUAAAUCAAUUAAAAUAUUUGAAGAGGCA
This is a long non-coding RNA of Marmota monax (woodchuck), 5783 nucleotides long. RefSeq lists it as uncharacterized. The record is from RefSeq and is a predicted model, not a curated record. NCBI's taxonomy places the organism in Eukaryota, Metazoa, Chordata, Mammalia, Rodentia, Sciuridae. The transcript is spliced from 7 exons.